This 267-nucleotide ribosomal RNA is filed under the name uncultured bacterium. Its description in RNAcentral is "partial 16S ribosomal RNA". It matches the Rfam family "Bacterial small subunit ribosomal RNA", at positions 71 to 339 of the family's 1533-position model. The record is from RNAcentral.
UCGGGUGAGUGAUUAAUUGGAAAGCGGCGGACGGGUGAGUAACGCGUGGGUAACCUGCCCUGUACAGAGGAAUAGCCAUUGGAAACGAUGAUUAAUGCCUCAUAAGACCACAGUGACACCUGUCACAGUGGUAAAAACUCCGGUGGUACAGGAUGGACCCGCGUUAGAUUAGCUAGUUGGUGAGGUAAUGGCUCACCAAGGCUACGAUCUAUAGCCGACCUGAGAGGGUGAUCGGCCACACUGGAACUGAGACACGGUCCAGACUCC